RNAcentral lists this non-coding RNA (45 nucleotides) under Schistosoma haematobium. Lineage: Eukaryota; Metazoa; Platyhelminthes; Trematoda; Strigeidida; Schistosomatidae. The record is from RNAcentral.
AUCCAGCUGACGAGUCCCAAACAUUACGAAACGCGCGUCCUGGAU